AUGGAGCUCCCUCCUAUCAGAAGGGCACCGAACACGCCACCCGUGCGGCUCUGCCCCCAAGGGGAAAGAAGAAGGGCGGCGGCGAGGGCCAAUAGCACCCUUCCCUCCGCCGCGCCACCGCCCUGCGGGACGCCCCCGGCCCCUCCAGCAGCGGUGGCGGGGGGCACGACGAGGCCUCCCCCGCGACCACCAGAGGGCGCCCGCCGCCGGCUCGGCCCCCGCCUGCCCCCUCCCCGCCGCCCGGGGCCGCACAACUUGAGCAAGUUUCCGUGGCUCGCCCCCGCACGCCGCGGCCCCCCGCCGCCCCUCGCCCGCCUCCCCGGUUUCUUCAUGCCGUGUUCCCCGCGGCUUCACCCCCGUUUUACCCGCAGCGGCGUCCAGCAGCGUCCCCUCUCCCUCGAUGCUGGUUCCGGGACGAGGCGGGGGACCCGGAAAUACCAUGAAUGCCAAUCCCAGCAAGAUACAAUUAAGCAAAAUAAAGAAGAAAUGUUGAUACCUGCAAAACACAAAAACAUACAUAGCUGCAGGCAACAGUAGUAGGAAGAACAUUCCAGUUGACGGUGGACACCAAGAAUCUGAACUUGUAAUUUAACUAAAAUUUCAAUAUUUUGUACCUUUCUAUGGCAGUCCAUUUAAAUGAAUGAAUGUUAUUGUUCCAGAUAUGCAUAAUAACUUGUUUUUCCUUUAUUAUUGGAAGGCUGGGCAUUGAGAUUUGUAGUAGCUCCUUCUCUCAACUAGCUUCAAAUCACAAAUUCCACAGAGUGUGGAGAGAAUAUAUUAAAUAUACAGAGUCCAGACAAUACUGUCAUUUGAUUCUGGGAAGCAGCCAAAUCUCUGACAUUGCAGUUGCAUUAAUAGAACUCUCCAUUGUGUUGAACAUAUGCUUCUCAACAGGCAGUAUAGUAUUGUUUACGAUAGACAGAUACUGCAAUUAUUUGCAGAACUUUAUUUUUGCCCAGAAAAAAAUGUAAGAUUUGACCUGACAACAGACAAAGAUCAAAAUCAAGAUAAAAAAAUCAAGAUAUUUUACUGCCCCAGUAUAGAUUUAGAAUCUUAUUUUUAGGUAUUCCUUAAAGCAUCCUGGUUUCCUUUGUUUGUGUUUUCUUGCAUUUGCCCCACAUACAUUUACAACGGUUUUCUAGAAACAGGGAUCCAAAGUUUCUGAAAUACUUUAAUUACCUAUUGAAAUGUCUAAGUAACUCAAAACCGAUUAAGCCAUUUAAAAUACUACAGGUAUAUAAAAGCACAAAACUAAGUGAAAGUUAGGUUUUCAUGUAUAAAGUAAGGUUAAAUUUGCUUAAUGAGUAAAACAUUGCCAAUCCUAACUGACUGCAGUUAUCAAAUCAGUAUUCCUAAAAUAGGUUUCUAACUCUCUGUGCAUUACAAAGCAAUAUUAGCAUGACUUUUUCUCCUCUGCAUUCACUCCUACAAAGAGAUGGGAUUUUUGAUUGGUUUAUUUCUUGUUUUCACUUUUGUGUGUGUGGUUGAUUUUGAUUCUGUUUUGUUUAGUUUGUUUGAUUGUUUUAAUUUUUAAAUAUUCCUUUUACAGCGUGUGGCUGUACCUGCCUAAGAAACAACUGCAGAAAUAAAAGUGUAUUACAACAUGUAGCCUGCUGUGUAGAAUCUCUGAAGAGAAGGAUUUAUUUUAAAUGGAGAUUAUCCUUUCAUGAAGACAGAAGUGUCUCAUUUCAUGAUGUGUCCGAGGGUGUAAGGUUCAAUAAAGACUUACAGACUUCAUGUGGAAUCUGGAAACUUGACUACUUUUGGCAAGAGGUGGAGAGUCCUGCUUUCUUUCAAAAUAUCAUGACAAUAUGGCUUUCUUUUCAGAAGGUGAAAGCACUCAUCUGUAAUGUUGCAAACAUUGACCUUAGUUAUUUUCUCUCUCUAAAUAGAUAUAUGUCUGUAGUCUCCUCUCAGGAGAAUAUCCUAAUCAACAAGGGCUGGGGCUCUCAAGCCCUCCUGUUCAAGUUUCAUAAGACAUUUUUAAGAAAAAGGAGGAGAAAGAAUACCUCUCUAAUUUAAUAGUUAAGAAACUUGCCCUUGAAUAGAGAAACCUACAUCUACAUCUAGAACAAAAGUAAUGCACUAACUUAACUUUAAAUUCUGAAGAGUCUAGUUUGACAUCUGGUCAAAGAAAUGGUUUCUUAUCUUGAAAUAUAAGAACAUUG
Molecule: long non-coding RNA, 2168 nt
Organism: Cairina moschata (Muscovy duck)
Lineage: Eukaryota; Metazoa; Chordata; Aves; Anseriformes; Anatidae
Source: Ensembl